RNAcentral lists this ribosomal RNA (680 nucleotides) under Vibrio sp. a245. Its description in RNAcentral is "bacterial SSU rRNA". It matches the Rfam family "Bacterial small subunit ribosomal RNA", at positions 311 to 984 of the family's 1533-position model. The record is from RNAcentral. Lineage: Bacteria; Pseudomonadati; Pseudomonadota; Gammaproteobacteria; Vibrionales; Vibrionaceae.
CACUGGACUGAGACACGGUCCAGACUCCUACGGGAGGCAGCAGUGGGGAAUAUUGAACAAUGGGCGCAAGCCUGAUGCAGCCAUGCCGCGUGUGUGAAGAAGGCCUUCGGGUUGUAAAGCACUUUCAGUCGUGAGGAAGGUGGUGUAGUUAAUAGCUGCAUUAUUUGACGUUAGCGACAGAAGAAGCACCGGCUAACUCCGUGCCAGCAGCCGCGGUAAUACGGAGGGUGCGAGCGUUAAUCGGAAUUACUGGGCGUAAAGCGCAUGCAGGUGGUUUGUUAAGUCAGAUGUGAAAGCCCGGGGCUCAACCUCGGAAUAGCAUUUGAAACUGGCAGACUAGAGUACUGUAGAGGGGGGUAGAAUUUCAGGUGUAGCGGUGAAAUGCGUAGAGAUCUGAAGGAAUACCGGUGGCGAAGGCGGCCCCCUGGACAGAUACUGACACUCAGAUGCGAAAGCGUGGGGAGCAAACAGGAUUAGAUACCCUGGUAGUCCACGCCGUAAACGAUGUCUACUUGGAGGUUGUGGCCUUGAGCCGUGGCUUUCGGAGCUAACGCGUUAAGUAGACCGCCUGGGGAGUACGGUCGCAAGAUUAAAACUCAAAUGAAUUGACGGGGGCCCGCACAAGCGGUGGAGCAUGUGGUUUAAUUCGAUGCAACGCGAAGAACCUUACCUACUCUUGA